Molecule: ribosomal RNA, 292 nt
Filed under: uncultured bacterium
Lineage: Bacteria
Description: partial 16S ribosomal RNA
Source: RNAcentral
GGACUACCCGGGUUUCUAAUCCUGUUUGCUCCCCACGCUUUCGCGUCUCAGCGUCAGUCACCGUCCAGAGGGCCGCCUUCGCCACCGGUGUUCCUCCUGAUAUCUACGCAUUUCACCGCUACACCAGGAAUUCCACCCUCCUCUCCGGGACUCGAGCCUGACAGUUUCCAAUGCACUUCCGGGGGUGAGCCCCGGGCUUUCACAUCAGACUUAACAGGCCGCCUACACGCGCUUUACGCCCAGUGAUUCCGAACAACGCUCGCACCCUCCGUAUUACCGCGGCGGCUGGCAC